This 764-nucleotide ribosomal RNA is filed under the name uncultured organism. RNAcentral's name for it is "bacterial SSU rRNA". It matches the Rfam family "Bacterial small subunit ribosomal RNA", at positions 39 to 823 of the family's 1533-position model. The record is from RNAcentral.
GCGAUGUGCCUAAGGUAUGCAAGUCGAACGAUACCUGUAUCUUCGGAUACAGGGAGUGGCAAACGGCUGAGUAACGCGUAGGAACCUACCCCAAACUCGAGUAUAGCCCCGCGAAAGCGGGGGUAAUCCUCGAUAGCCCGUGAAGUAUUUUACUUCACGGUAAAGCUUUUGCGGUUUGGGAUGGGCCUGCGUCCUAUCAGGUAGUUGGUGAGGUAAAUGCUCACCAAGCCUAUGACGGGUAGCUGGUCUGAGAGGAUGGUCAGCCAGACUGGGACUGCGACACGGCCCAGACUCCUACGGGAGGCAGCAACUAGGAAUUGUGCGCAAUGGACGAAAGUCUGACGCCGCGACAUCGCGUGGAGGAUGAAGGUCUUCGGAUUGUAAACUCCUUUUCUUACCGAACAAGUUCUGAGUGUAGGUAAGGAAUAAGUGCCUGCUAACCACGUGCCAGAAGCAUCGGUAAUACGUGGGGCACGAGCGUUAUCCGGAUUUACUGGGCGUAAAGAGAAGCGUAGGCGGCUCAAUAAGUUUGGUGUUAAAUCUUCCGGCUCAACCGGAAACAAGCACCGAAAACUAUCGAGAUUGAGUCGAGUAGGGAAGAGGGGAAUUCCUGGUGGAGCGGUUAAAUGCGUAGAUAUCAGGAGGAAUACCAAGGGCGAAGGCACCUCUUUGGACUCGUACUGACGCUGAGGCUCGAAAGCGUGGGUAGCAAAACGGAUUAGAUACCCGUGUAGUCCACGCCGUAAACGAUCCCUGUUAGAUGU